RNAcentral lists this small RNA (47 nucleotides) under Oryza sativa Japonica Group (Japanese rice). RNAcentral's name for it is "sRNA Os04g0281300". Lineage: Eukaryota; Viridiplantae; Streptophyta; Magnoliopsida; Poales; Poaceae. The record is from RNAcentral.
GAAACUGUAAAUUGGGACUUAUCAGGCCCCAUGUUACGAGCUUCCGG